CCCUUAGAUGUUCUGGGCUGCACGCGCGCUACACUGAAGCGUUCAACGAGUAUUCACCUUGCCCGGGAGGGUUGGGUAAUCUUUUGAAAACGCUUCGUGAUGGGGAUAGAUUAUUGCAAUUAUUAAUCUUCAACGAGGAAUUCCUAGUAAGCGCGAGUCAUCAGCUCGUGCUGAUUACGUCCCUGCCCUUUGUACACACCGCCCGUCGCUCCCACCGAUUGAGUGAUCCGGUGAAUAAUUCGGACUGCAGCACUGCUUGGUCUCCAGGCUUUGCAGCGGAAAGUUUAGUGAACCUUAUCACUUAGAGGAAGGAGAAGUCGUAACA
RNAcentral lists this ribosomal RNA (325 nucleotides) under uncultured eukaryote. RNAcentral's name for it is "partial 18S ribosomal RNA". It matches the Rfam family "Eukaryotic small subunit ribosomal RNA", at positions 1470 to 1796 of the family's 1831-position model. The record is from RNAcentral.